GCCGUGAUCGUAUAGUGGUUAGUACACUCCUUUCUGGACGCAAUAACGCAGGUUCGAAUUCUGGGUCACGGCA
This is a non-coding RNA of Nematostella vectensis (starlet sea anemone), 73 nucleotides long. Lineage: Eukaryota; Metazoa; Cnidaria; Anthozoa; Actiniaria; Edwardsiidae. The record is from Rfam.